UAUACAGAGUGUGCACCUUGCCAGUAGGGGGCAGUGUGGCGCUGUGCUUCUCCCUAGGGACUCUCUUUGAUAGCGGACUCUGGCUCCUUCCUCAUUCUACCGAGCGAAGCUUCACUGUACAGAAGCAUGGCUGCCUGUCUCAUCCUUUCUCCUGUUUAACACAGGUUUGUAAGCAUUGUAAACAUGUGUCAAUGUAUGAAAAUGUUGUUUAACAGAACAGAAGAUAUACUGAUGUAGAAAACUUAUUGAUUUGUAUUAUUCGGCCGAUGAGCAGAGACUUCAUUUUUACUCUGUGUUGUGUCUGAACCGUAAUGGUGCCAACGAACUAAUGUCUUUACUUUGGUUGAUUUCAAAACAAGAGUCUGGUUUCUUUUUGGGCUCCAGGGGCCUGCUGCAUGAAAGUAGGAUUAAGAUAUCCGGGAUAAAUGACUGAGCCGAGUUCACCCAAUCCAAAACAAGAGCGUCCAGGCUCAGUCGGUUGCACAAAGACCAAGCCAGGAUGAGCAGACACGGAUUCAUCAAGCCAGGGGAAACCAAUCCUGGCUAAGUGCGCGUACGCGGCUUCCUUAAAUAGACCCCAGAUAUCGAUCGCAGAUUCACUGAUUCACCAUGGCAACGCGUGCGGCAUACUUUUCACCGUCAGAAGAGGAGAUCCUCAUGGAAGCAUAUGAAGAGGUGAAAGAUCAAAUCAGAAAGAAAGGCAACACAGCAUCAAUAAUUAAACAGCACCAAAAAGCUUGGGAAACCAUUGCAGAUCGCCUGAAUGCCAAGUAAAAGUCAAAUACAAGAACAUCUUGCAGAAUGCCGUCAAAAAGAGAGGCCAAAUACAAAGAACGGGUGGUGGGUCACCUCCCACCGCCCUCACCCCAGCCGAAGACAUGGCCUUAUCACAAAAUAAAGGCAGGCCAGUUUUGGAGGGGAUCCUUGGGGGGGACAGAAACAAAUGCAUGUCCCUCCCAAGAGGCUAACCGCUUCAUACAAGUUUCUGGCAGCACUAUCUCCUUGCUGGAGCCACCAAUGCCAGAUGAAGAUGAUGAUGAUGAUGAUGAUGAUCCAGUGAGUACACUGUAGGCCUGCCGUGUUCCCUGAUGACGACAGUGGUCGGCUGGUCAGGGACCAAUAUGUGUUGAAUUACUUUAGUUAACAUGCUUUAAAUUUCAGUUAUAUAUGGCCUGCAGUGGCAGAGACAUAUAUAUAUUCAAAUUUGAAUUAAUUUGACCUCUUAUAAUUGCACUGUAUAUUGUGUAUACAAGCUUGUAGGGAGGCUACUGCAUGUAUUAAUUUGUCUGUUCAUUUGUUGUGUAUGGAUUUGGCCUGCAUUUAUUUCAGUGUGCAGACAUUAUAUACAGACUGAUUGUGUAUGCAUUAUUUUGUUGUAUGCUUUUGAUUCCAUGCUUUCUAUCUUGUAGAGUCACUGUGUGGCUUCAGUUUUGAAAGGAGCUGAUGGUUUACCUGCUUUUAUAUAUCCUUAUUCAAUAAAGGAAGAUCAUGUCA
Molecule: long non-coding RNA, 1494 nt
Organism: Notolabrus celidotus (New Zealand spotty)
Lineage: Eukaryota; Metazoa; Chordata; Actinopteri; Labriformes; Labridae
Exons: 4
Source: RefSeq, a predicted model, not a curated record